GGAGAAGGAAGUAAGGGCACACGGGGGAUGCCUAGGCGCCAGGAGCCGAUGAAGGGCGGGGCGAACUCCGAUAAGCCUCGGGGAGCUGUAAGCGAGCGUUGAUCCGGGGAUUCCCGAAUGGGGCAACCCACCGGUCUGACGAGGGCCGGUACCGCCACCUGAAUUCAUAGGGUGGACGGGGGCACACCAGGGGAACUGAAACAUCUUAGUACCCUGAGGAGAAGAAAGCAACCGCGAUUCCCUCAGUAGCGGCGAGCGAACGGGGAACAGCCCAAACCGGCGGGCACUUGCCCGUCGGGGUUGUAGGGCGUCCCACACGGAGUGAUAAAGGAUGCCGGUAGGUGAAGUGGUCUGGAACGGCCCGCCAUAGACGGUGAAAGCCCGGUAACCGAAACCGGCGUCCCUCCGGGACGGACCCUGAGUACCACGGGACACGGGAAACCCCGUGGGAAUCCGGGAGGACCACCUCCCAAGGCUAAAUACUCCCUGGCGACCGAUAGUGAACCAGUACCGUGAGGGAAAGGUGA
Molecule: ribosomal RNA, 527 nt
Filed under: Klebsiella pneumoniae
Lineage: Bacteria; Pseudomonadati; Pseudomonadota; Gammaproteobacteria; Enterobacterales; Enterobacteriaceae
Description: partial 23S ribosomal RNA
Rfam family: Bacterial large subunit ribosomal RNA
Source: RNAcentral